AUACGGAGGGGGUUAGCGUUGUUCGGAAUUACUGGGCGUAAAGCGCACGUAGGCGGACUGGAAAGUUGGGGGUGAAAUCCCGGGGCUCAACCCCGGAACUGCCUCCAAAACUUCCAAUCUAGAGAUCGAGAGAGGUGAGUGGAAUUCCAAGUGUAGAGGUGAAAUUCGUAGAUAUUUGGAGGAACACCAGUGGCGAAGGCGGCUCACUGGCUCGAUACUGACGCUGAGGCGCGAAAGCGUGGGGAGCAAACAGGAUUAGAAACCCCAGUAGUCC
Molecule: ribosomal RNA, 274 nt
Filed under: uncultured bacterium
Lineage: Bacteria
Description: partial 16S ribosomal RNA
Rfam family: Bacterial small subunit ribosomal RNA
Source: RNAcentral